This 492-nucleotide ribosomal RNA is filed under the name uncultured bacterium. RNAcentral's name for it is "partial 16S ribosomal RNA". It matches the Rfam family "Bacterial small subunit ribosomal RNA", at positions 29 to 507 of the family's 1533-position model. The record is from RNAcentral.
AGUGAACGCUGGCGGUAGGCCUAACACAUGCAAGUCGAACGGCAGCACAGUAAGAGCUUGCUCUUACGGGUGGCGAGUGGCGGACGGGUGAGGAAUACAUCGGAAUCUACUUUUUCGUGGGGGAUAACGUAGGGAAACUUACGCUAAUACCGCAUACGACCUACGGGUGGAAGCAGGGGAUCUUCGGAUCUUGCGCGAUUGAAUGAGCCGAUGUCGGAUUAGCUAGUUGGCGGGGUAAAGGCCCACCAAGGCGACGAUCCGUAGCUGGUCUGAGAGGAUGAUCAGCCACACUGGAACUGAGACACGGUCCAGACUCCUACGGGAGGGAGCAGUGGGGAAUAUUGGACAAUGGGCGCAAGCCUGGUCCAGCCAUACCGCGUGGGUGAAGAAGGCCUUCGGGUUGUAAAGCCCUUUUGUUGGGAAAGAAAAGCAGCAGGUUAAUACCCCGCUGUUCUGACGGUACCCAAAGAAUAAGCACCGGCUAACUUCGUG